This 53-nucleotide ribosomal RNA is filed under the name Arabis alpina (gray rockcress). Its description in RNAcentral is "rRNA ENSRNAG00050207895". The record is from RNAcentral. Lineage: Eukaryota; Viridiplantae; Streptophyta; Magnoliopsida; Brassicales; Brassicaceae.
GGGGUGCAACACGAGGACUUCCCAGGAGGUCACCCAUCCUAGUACUACUCUCG